CGUGGCGGACGGGUGAGUAACGCGUGGGCAACCUGCCUCGCACUGGGGGAUAACACUUAGAAAUAGGUGCUAACACCGCAUAGCGGGCGGGGACGCAUGCCCCUGCCCUGAAAACCCAGGUGGUGCGAGAUGGGCCCGCGUCUGAUUAGCUGGUUGGCAGGGUAACGGCCUACCAAGGCGACGAUCAGUAGCCGGCCUGAGAGGGUGGACGGCCACAUUGGGACUGAGACACGGCCCAGACUCCUACGGAAGGCAGCAG
Molecule: ribosomal RNA, 259 nt
Filed under: uncultured bacterium
Lineage: Bacteria
Description: partial 16S ribosomal RNA
Rfam family: Bacterial small subunit ribosomal RNA
Source: RNAcentral